GCCUGGGUAGCUCAGUCGAUAGAGCACCAGACUCCUAAUCUGAAGGUCCAGGGUUCAGGCCCCUGCUUGGGCA
Molecule: non-coding RNA, 73 nt
Organism: Protopterus annectens (West African lungfish)
Lineage: Eukaryota; Metazoa; Chordata; Ceratodontiformes; Protopteridae
Source: the annotation of a RefSeq genome assembly